Molecule: long non-coding RNA, 678 nt
Organism: Balaenoptera ricei (Rice's whale)
Lineage: Eukaryota; Metazoa; Chordata; Mammalia; Artiodactyla; Balaenopteridae
Exons: 5
Source: RefSeq, a predicted model, not a curated record
AAUUCGCGCGAGGGCUGCUAUUAAGAUAUGCAAACCGCCUCUUCGGGCGCAAGGUCCGGGAUGUGAUGGGUGCGGAGCGGGAGAGACACCGCCGCCCGCCGCCCCCUUCCCUCGGAUGCAGAGGCAGGUUGUUCGUGUGAACUCGGGCGAACGACUGGAGGCCCCUUUGUGUGACUAAAUUUGGCAAGAAUAUGGAUCCGAGCCAGUCUUUCCACGUGUGCUCCCAGCUCCCAGCUGAGAAGGCCAAGGGUUCUCUUCCGGUGCUCCAGGAAAGUGCCUGACUGACAGGAACUACAUCCAAUGCCCAGAAAACACAUCUACACAGGCACAGUGAAGCAUGGAGCGGAACAAUUUUCCACAUAAUGGAUGCAAUGAUGUUUGUGGUCCCAACAGACACAACAGUCAGAAGAAGUCUCGGGUGCUCUAGACACGGAUGUUUGGGGGAGAAGACAGUGGGGGGAAAGACAAAAGAAACACCAAUAAGACAAGAGCACAGUGAAUUUAGAGCUUGCUGAAUAGGCGCACUCAACCAGAACUGUCUGUUACUCAUCCGGAUGGAAAAUUUAAACCUUAUCAUUUCUCGGCAUAGAAACCAACAAAUGGGAGCAUAAUUCUGGUGGUGCUGCAAAUUCUAAAACAAUGCAAGAUAUGAAAAUCAGUGGCAAAGUGAAUUCAAGC